Sorex araneus (European shrew) is the source of this 197-nucleotide small nucleolar RNA. Its record names the gene SNORA73. It matches the Rfam family "Small nucleolar RNA SNORA73 family". From Rfam's summary of the family: U17 (SNORA73A and SNORA73B) also known as E1 belongs to the H/ACA class of small nucleolar RNAs (snoRNAs). Lineage: Eukaryota; Metazoa; Chordata; Mammalia; Eulipotyphla; Soricidae. The record is from Ensembl.
CCAACAUGGAUAUCCCAGGAGGUCCUGGGCACUGUCCAGGUGUCACAGAGGACUACAGGGCUCUACCCUGUGUUUUACAGUCCCUUUCCACAUCAUUGGACAUCAAGCCAGGCCUUGAGUCUGCACCUGCAUAUUCCUACAUUUUCUCAGAAUCUUCUGGAAGAUGACUGGGGAGACAAAACACUCAGUAAGAAGGG